This is a long non-coding RNA of Callithrix jacchus (white-tufted-ear marmoset), 2818 nucleotides long. RefSeq lists it as uncharacterized. The record is from RefSeq and is a predicted model, not a curated record. Lineage: Eukaryota; Metazoa; Chordata; Mammalia; Primates; Cebidae.
CGCAGACUUGCUGUGGAGGAUGGAGCACAGGCAGCAGGGACUCGAGGGUGGAUCAUGUUAACUUCCAGCCAUGACUUCCAGAAAAUUCCAGAUGGAACCGGAGCAAAAAUAAGACCAGCCAACAUCCCUUGAUGCCCCAGGCAUAGAUUCAACGUCAAUUUGUGAUAAAAAAAAAUAGAGGGAAUGGGUGCUGCCUUCUCCUUGCAACUGGGGUGGAUGCUCUAAGAGGGCUGUGAAGAAAUGAUGAAUCAAUGAAUUCAUGAAGUAACCAAUUCAUGUCUCCAUCCAACAAACACUUUUCCAUGGCACCUUGGUGGCAGGCAUUGCGCUCAGUGCUGACGAAAGAAAAGGCAACUGGGACCAGGCUUGCCUUCGAGUGGCCCGCAGCUUCACGUUGGAGGAAUAUACCAAGAGGACGGUGUGGCAGGUGACAUCCAUUAAAGUGGAAGGAGCGGGGGACUCGGAAGACUUAAGGCAGGGCAUGCUUCUGAUGGAAGGUGGGAGAGGGUAGGAGACACACUGCAGCUUUCUGUAUCUGGGAGAAGUUGAAGAGAAGAGUAGCUUCUAAUAUUAUUGCCGUGAGGACAGACUACAGAAUGCAGAAAACCCCUGUAAAUAGGAAAGAUAUGUCUUGAAUCUGCGCAAAGCCCCAGAGUCACGAAUAUCACCACAGCGCUGACGGGGCUUUUUUCCUGGGUCAUUUUCCAAAAGGAAGCCAACUCUGGAUCCCUUUCCAACUGUCAUUGCAACUGAUGAGAAGAGAACAAGGAAUGGGAACUGAGAGGCACCCGACUCAGGCUCUUGCUCAUGCCCGCUUAAUGGUCUCUUCCCCCACAGCAGCUUUUCAGAGCCUGGGAUUUAAAUGUGCCACUUGGCAGAACUGUAACCGAUUACAAACCUUGGGAUCUGUGGGUUGCUAGCAUAACAGUCCAAAUCAAAAAUAGCAAAUCUGCACAUAACAAAGGUCAAUUAUCUUCUAAGCAUGCAUCUGCUUAUGCGACACACAAUAUUUAUGCUGUAAGUUCCUAGGGGCCCGGGUGGAGAUGUUUUAUGUUUCCCCAUCUGGCUUCUGCCCAGCGAACCUUACGCGCUGUGGGUACUUCGGAAAUACAGAUGGUGUGACGGAACGAUGGUUUUUCCUUUGCAGACAGUCACCUAACUGGAUAAUUUGGUGGCCAGUGACACUGUGGACUCUGGAGGUCAGCAAACCUGGGUUAAAUCCAAGUUCUGCACCUGCCUAGCUGUGUGAACUUGGGCAAGAAAUGUAAUUUCUUUAUGUCUCAGUUUGUUCAUCUGCAAAAUGAGUGUUAACAACACUCACCUCGUAGGUGAGGAGUGAACGAGAUGGUGAGUGCACCCUGAGCCAAUAGUGAGAGCUCAAUAAACAGUUCCCGGCGGCAGCGUCUUGUUGCCUCCAUCUUCAUCUUCAUCGUCAUCAUUCUUGACCCCUGAGGGCCAGGAGUAGAGGGGAGGAUGGCCGAGGUCCCCACAGGGUCUUCUGCAUGGCUCCUCAGCUCCUGGGCUCUUGCCCCAACACAGACACUGGCCCUAGAUCCAGUUUUUCUCUUAGUUCAGUGCCUCCCAAACUUGAGUGUGGAGCGGAAUCAACGGAAGCACUUGUUAAAACACAGGCACCACAAUGGAGGGGGAGGUGGGGAGGGAUAGCCUGGGGAGAAAUGCCAAAUGUGGGUGAAGGGGAGAAGAAAAGCAAAGCACACUGCCAUGUGUGUACCUACGCAACUGUCUUGCAUGCUCUGCUCAUGUACCCCAAAACCUAUAAUCCAAUAAAAAAUUAAAAAAAAAAAAAACAAAAACACAGGCACCGCCCCACUUGCAGGGUUUCUGGUUCAGUAGGUUUGGGCGGCUCUGGUCUGAUCAUUUGCAUUUCAAAGGAGUCCUCAGGUCCUGCUGCUGCUGCUCGUCUAAGAAUUACAGUUUAAGCAUUGGCAACAAAAGCCAAAAUAGACAAAUGGGACCUAAUGAAACUCCACAGCUUCUGCACGGCAAAAGAAACAGUCACUAGAGUGGAUCGGCAACCAACAGAAUGGGAAAAAAUUUUUGCAGUUUACCCAUCUGACAAAGGGCUGAUAUCCAGAAUUUACAAAGAACUCAAACGGAUUUACAGGAAAAAAACAAACAAGCCCAUUCAAAAGUGGGCAAAGGAUAUGAACAGAUACUUUACGAAAGAAGACAUAUAUGAGGCCAACAAUCAUAUGAAAAAUGCUCAUCGUCACUGGUCAUCAGAGAGAUGCAAAUCAAAACCACAUUGAGAUACCAUCUCAUGCCAGUUAGAAUGGCGAUCAUUAAAAAAUCUGGAGACAACAGAUGCUGGAGAGGAUGUGGAGAAAAAGGAACACUUUUACACUGUUGGUGGGAGUGUAAAUUAGUUCAACCAUUGUGGAAGACAGUGUGGCGAUUCCUCAAGGCCUUAGAAAUAGAAAUUCCAUUUGACCCAGCAAUCCCAUUACUGGGUAUAUAUCCAAAAGACUAUAAAUCGUUCUACUAUAAGGACACAUGUACACGAAUGUUCAUUGCAGCACUGUUUACAAUAGCAAAGACCUGGAAUCAACCAAAAUGCCCAUUGAUGAUAGACUGGAUUGGAAAAAUGUGGCACAUAUACACCAUGGAAUAUUAUGCCGCAAUCAGAAAUGAUGAGUUUGUGUCGUUUGUAGGGACAUGGAUGAAUCUGGAGAACGUCAUCCUCAGCAAACUGACACAAGAACAGAAAAUGAAACACUGCAUAUUCUCACUCAUAGGUGGGUGAUGAAAAAUGAGAACACAUGGACACAGAAAGGGGAGUACUAAACACUGGGGUCUA